CAGCCAUGCAGUGAGCACAAAGCGAACUAUUCUUUCACCUUUUACUAAAGAAUAUCGUGUGCGUGCUGGACCGAUGACAUAUGCCUAGUUUUGGAGGGAUUACUUUUCAUAGAGUGAC
Non-coding RNA from Capsicum annuum, 118 nucleotides. The record is from Rfam. Lineage: Eukaryota; Viridiplantae; Streptophyta; Magnoliopsida; Solanales; Solanaceae.